GAUGAACGCUGGCGGCGUGCUUAACACAUGCAAGUCGAACGAAGCACUUUAUUUGAUUUCCUUCGGGACUGAUUAUUUUGUGACUGAGUGGCGGACGGGUGAGUAACGCGUGGGUAACCUGCCUUGUACAGGGGGAUAACAGUUGGAAACGGCUGCUAAUACCGCAUAAGCGCACGGCAUCGCAUGAUGCAGUGUGAAAACCUCCGGUGGUAUAAGAUGGACCCGCGUUGGAUUAGCUAGUUGGUGAGGUAACGGCCCACCAAGGCGACGAUCCAUAGCCGACCUGAGAGGGUGACCGGCCACAGUGGGACUGAGACACGGCCCAAACUCCUACGGGAGGCAGCAGUGGGGAAUAUUGCACAAUGGGCGAAAGCCUGAUGCAGCGACGCCGCGUGAGCGAAGAAGUAUUUCGGGAUGUAAAGCUCUAUCAGCAGGGAAGAUAAUGACGGUACCUGACGAAGAAGCACCGGCUAAAUACGUG
This 481-nucleotide ribosomal RNA is filed under the name uncultured bacterium. RNAcentral describes it as "partial 16S ribosomal RNA". It matches the Rfam family "Bacterial small subunit ribosomal RNA", at positions 28 to 507 of the family's 1533-position model. The record is from RNAcentral.